Molecule: ribosomal RNA, 292 nt
Filed under: uncultured bacterium
Lineage: Bacteria
Description: partial 16S ribosomal RNA
Rfam family: Bacterial small subunit ribosomal RNA
Source: RNAcentral
GUGUCAGCAGCCGCGGUAAUACGGAGGGGGCUAGCGUUGUUCGGAAUUACUGGGCGUAAAGCGCGCGUAGGCGGCUUUGUAAGUUAGAGGUGAAAGCCCGGAGCUUAACUCCGGAACUGCCUUUAAGACUGCAUCGCUAGAAUUGUGGAGAGGUGAGUGGAAUUCCGAGUGUAGAGGUGAAAUUCGUAGAUAUUCGGAAGAACACCAGUGGCGAAGGCGACUCACUGGACACAUAUUGACGCUGAGGUGCGAAAGCGUGGGGAGCAAACAGGAUUAGAUACCCCAGUAGUCC